This 253-nucleotide ribosomal RNA is filed under the name uncultured bacterium. Its description in RNAcentral is "partial 16S ribosomal RNA". It matches the Rfam family "Bacterial small subunit ribosomal RNA", at positions 524 to 776 of the family's 1533-position model. The record is from RNAcentral.
UACGGAGGGUGCAAGCGUUGCUCGGAAUUAUUGGGCGUAAAGGGUAGGUAGGUGGUCUCAUUUGUCUGGGGUGAAAGCCUUGAGCUUAACUCAAGAAGUGCCCCAGAAACGGUGAGACUAGAGUCCUGGAGAGGGUCGUGGAAUUCCCGGUGUAGCGGUGAAAUGCGUAGAGAUCGGGAGGAACACCAGAGGCGAAGGCGGCGGCCUGGACAGGCACUGACACUCAACUACGAAAGCGUGGGGAGCAAACAGG